GAUGAACGCUGGCGGCGUGCCUAAUACAUGCAAGUCGAGCGAACAGAUGAGGAGCUUGCUCCUCUGACGUUAGCGGCGGACGGGUGAGUAACACGUGGAUAACCUACCUAUAAGACUGGGAUAACUUCGGGAAACCGGAGCUAAUACCGGAUAAUAUAUUGAACCGCAUGGUUCAAUAGUGAAAGACGGUUUUGCUGUCUCUUAUAGAUGGAUCCGCGCCGCAUUAGCUAGUUGGUAAGGUAACGGCUUACCAAGGCAACGAUGCGUAGCCGACCUGAGAGGGUGAUCGGCCACACUGGAACUGAGACACGGUCCAGACUCCUACGGGAGGCAGCAGUAGGGAAUCGUCCGCAAUGGGCGAAAGCCUGACGGAGCAACGCCGCGUGAGUGAUGAAGGUCUUCGGAUCGUAAAACUCUGUUAUUAGGGAAGAACAAAUGUGUAAGUAACUAUGCACGUCUUGACGGUACCUAAUCAGAAAGCCACGGCUAACUACGUG
Molecule: ribosomal RNA, 497 nt
Filed under: uncultured bacterium
Lineage: Bacteria
Description: partial 16S ribosomal RNA
Rfam family: Bacterial small subunit ribosomal RNA
Source: RNAcentral